GCAAGACAACCCUAAAGAAAACACCUAAAGCCCCUACCCAACAAUCAAUAGGCAACGUCCAGGAAGAUUGUGACCCCAUAGCACUCAGCCUCUAAGGAACUGGGGGAGGGACUUGCGCACUAGGGGAUAAACUGCUUGUUAAAACUGUACUGGGUGUGCCUGUCCAUCAAACACGGAUCUUGCAAGACUGUCAUUAAAAGUCUCACUUUCGCUGUUCUCCGGGUCUCUAAGUCCAUUCUUUGGGUUUGAAUGGGUAAGUUUGUUUCUCAUACUUUUUUAAUAAGCAGAGGCAGUACACUCUAAAAUAAUGAUUAAAAGUAUAGUAUAGUAAAUACAUAAACAAAAUAGUCAUUUAUUAUAAUUAUCAAGUAUUAUGUACUGUACCUAAUUGUAUCUGUUAGACUUUUAUACCAUUGGCAAUGCAAUAGGUUUGUUUAUACCAGCCUCACUACAAACACCUGAGUAAUGCAUUGUGCUAUGUUAUUAGGACAGCUAGAACAUCACUAGGCGACAGGAAUGUUUCAGUUCUAUUAUAAUCUUUUAUAGUCUAUUAUAAUGGACCAUAUAUAUGGCCACUGUCAUAUAUGUUAUCAUUAACUGAAAAGUUGUUAUGCAGUGCAUGACUAUAUUCUGUCGUUGCAGCUUAUUGUCUAAAACUAUGUCCUUUCUCAGUCCAAUACAAGUAUUCCCAGCAGUGGUGUCUCAACUAUCAUCUAGACUGCAAACGUCCUGAGAGGAGCCUCAUGUCUUCUUACAACAUCACAUGAAAGGAGCAGGCUAACUUGUUAGCUUCCAGAUAGCUAGUCUCCCACAUGCUGUCUUUCUGAUCAUGGAAAUCAACUUUCUUAAGAAGGCUAACCUCUUGGUUCAAGUGUGGCUGGUGGACUCCACCCCUGGCUGGGUUUUGGCAUCUGACGUUGGUAUAAAAGGUCUCAGCAUUGUAAGUAUAGGAAGGGUGGGGGCUUCCCAAUGACCUCACCCUUUCAUACAUGAAUAGGUCACUCCCAGAUAACAACCACUCUGAAACAUGCCAGCCGGAAGGGAAGGGUCAAUUUUAGAAAGUCAACAACCCCACUACCCAUUCAUUCAAUCAUGGGCCUCAAUGCCCUGAGAAAAUCAUUUUGCUAAACCAUGGUUUCACCUACUGUAACAUUAUGCAAAACACACUGUCAUCUCCCCAAGAGAUGUCAGGAAAGACAGACAAGUAGCCCUAAUUACAAUCAUAUUCGCAACAACAAAAAUGAGUAUAGAUAUGUGUCACAAGGGAUUUUUUUCUUCUCCCUUGACACUACUAUGUAUUAAAGAGACAACAGCUAACCUGAUAUUGCCCUUACUUCUCCUUGCUGGAAUUUUAUUGACAACUUAGUUUCCUUUCUGUGUUUCUUUAUUAACUAAAUCAGCACAAAACAUAGGCAACAGUAAACAUAAACUAUUUUUAUACAUGCAAAUUAGUGAUAAUACCUAUCCAGAGAGUCACUUUUCUAAUAUGGAGUGAUCCAAAGAAGGAUAAAGGUAGUCUAAAUGUCAGGGUCUUCAUUUGUUCUCCUAUCCUGCAAAUGGCCCUCAUGUAAGUUUCCUACAUUACACUUCCAAACAAAUUCAACUCUUUCAACAAGCCUGGCAUAUAGAGGGACUCAAAAAGUAUUACCUGAAUUAAAGUGAAAUGUAUUUGUUAAAUUUUAAGGAAAUAAAAUAUACCACUGUCAUAAUAU
This 1712-nucleotide long non-coding RNA is filed under the name Homo sapiens (human). RNAcentral describes it as "HSALNT0150496". Lineage: Eukaryota; Metazoa; Chordata; Mammalia; Primates; Hominidae. The record is from RNAcentral.